RNAcentral lists this ribosomal RNA (301 nucleotides) under uncultured bacterium. Its description in RNAcentral is "partial 16S ribosomal RNA". It matches the Rfam family "Bacterial small subunit ribosomal RNA", at positions 509 to 807 of the family's 1533-position model. The record is from RNAcentral.
CAGCCGCCGCGGUAAUACGAAGGGGGCUAGCGUUGCUCGGAAUGACUGGGCGUAAAGGGCGCGUAGGCGGAUUGUUUAGUUAGGCGUGAAAUUCCUGGGCUUAACCUGGGGACUGCGCUUAAUACAGGCAGUCUAGAGUGAGGAAGAGGGUUGUGGAAUUCCCAGUGUAGAGGUGAAAUUCGUAGAUAUUGGGAAGAACACCGGUGGCGAAGGCGGCGACCUGGUUCAUGAUUGACGCUGAGGCGCGAAAGCGUGGGGAGCAAACAGGAUUAGAUACCCCAGUAGUCCCUGUCUCUUAUAC